CAGAACUAGAGGCUGGUCGCUCCGCCCUUGUGCUCCAGCUGCUGAGCCGACUAGAGUUUGGGUUUCGCGGCACCCCUUAAUCUACUCAGAUCGCGGCCUCUGGGCCCAGGUAUGUGCUGUGUGCGAAGUCUCUUCAGUAGUGUCCGACUCUGCGACCCCCAUGGCUCCUCUGUCCAUGGAAUUUUCCAGGCGAAUUCACCACUGGUCCACAUGGGAAUCCAGUGCAAGCGGCUGAAUGGUUGCAGCCCUGAGGAUUUCCCAGGAGGUGUACACUACUUGUGGUUGCCAUUCCAGAUAACAGGUACAUUGCUCCAAUGUGCCCACGCGGCCUGGGCCCUGUGCCUACACCGCUGUAGAAGAACUGGAAGUGGGAAGACUAGUACCCACCAUUUCAGUGGCCAGAUGUGUACGGGUUGAGAGCGUCAACCAGUUAGUUCCAGAAACCUGGCUGAACCACUAAAAAUAACUGGGGAUCCGCAGCAGUUGGUUUGCCUGAUUCACUGUCUGUUAUAUGGGUAUGAUGGGGGUACCCCCAGAAAGGGCUGUUGAAGUUUAAUCAUUAAAUGAAUUCACAGAUUGGCA
Cervus elaphus (red deer) is the source of this 582-nucleotide long non-coding RNA. RefSeq lists it as uncharacterized. Lineage: Eukaryota; Metazoa; Chordata; Mammalia; Artiodactyla; Cervidae. The transcript has 2 exons. The record is from RefSeq and is a predicted model, not a curated record.